ACCUCAAAGUACUAUUAAAUCCUCGACAAUUAUCAAGAAACCUCAUAUCUGAUACUUUACUUGCACUUCCAAUCAUCUCAAAAUCCCAACCAAACUGAUCAUAAGCAAGGGCAGAAGACACAUAACAGGAAUCAAGCAAAACUCAAAACUAAAAAACCGUCUUAAGACAAAUCGCAUAUCGAUCCAUCACUAUAAAACCAAGUAAAAUCCAGAAAGAAAAGGGGAAUAGCAAAAACCUUAGCUAAUUCAGCCUCCAUUGGAUCAAUGCUCGUUAGUCUCCUCCUCUUCAGCGCUGGCGGAGAAUAACAAUCAAAAAUCAUCAGAGACUUCACAGGAAACCUUUCCAGAGAGAGUACUCCGUGCGCCUCUAUACAUACCUUCUUCUACAGUGUGCGGGUGCAUAUAUUAUAUUCACCCCUAUGCGCCUUCGAUAUAUGUACCAUUUCCUUCCUCGCCGUUACUGGACUUUCCUUUUCUUCAACUCUGCCGCCGGCACGCGCGUCACGUGCGAUUCCUCUUGGAUAAAACCGACCCGACCCUUUAUGGUGGGCCUUGUUAUUAUUAUUUUUUUUUUUCACACCGCUCU
This 586-nucleotide long non-coding RNA is filed under the name Carica papaya (papaya). RNAcentral describes it as "long non-coding RNA (CPAP_LNC001774)". The record is from RNAcentral. Lineage: Eukaryota; Viridiplantae; Streptophyta; Magnoliopsida; Brassicales; Caricaceae.